GCAUUGGUAGUUCAGUGGUAGAAUUCUCUCCUUCCACGUGGGAGACCCAGGUUCAAUUUCUGCCCAAUGCA
Orycteropus afer afer is the source of this 71-nucleotide non-coding RNA. Lineage: Eukaryota; Metazoa; Chordata; Mammalia; Tubulidentata; Orycteropodidae. The record is from the annotation of a RefSeq genome assembly.